Molecule: ribosomal RNA, 472 nt
Filed under: uncultured bacterium
Lineage: Bacteria
Description: bacterial SSU rRNA
Rfam family: Bacterial small subunit ribosomal RNA
Source: RNAcentral
UGGGGAAUAUUGGACAAUGGGCGAAAGCCUGAUCCAACCAUGCCGCGUGAGUGAAGAAGGCCUUCGGGUUGUAAAGCUCUUUCAGACGGAAAGAAACGGUCGCGGCCAAUACCCGCGACUAAUGACGGUACCGUAAGAAGAAGCACCGGCUAACUACGUGCCAGCAGCCGCGGUAAUACGUAGGGUGCGAGCGUUAAUCGGAAUUACUGGGCGUAAAGCGUGCGCAGGCGGUUUGGUAAGACAGAUGUGAAAUCCCCGGGCUUAACCUGGGAACUGCAUUUGUGACUGCCAGACUAGAGUGUAGCAGAGGGGGGUAGAAUUCCACGUGUAGCGGUGAAAUGCGUAGAUAUAGGAAGGAACACCAGUGGCGAAGGCGACCACCUGGGAUAACACUGACGCUCAUGCACGAAAGCGUGGGGAGCAAACAGGAUUAGAUACCCUCGUAGUCCCUGAGCGGGCUGGCAAGGCGCAU